RNAcentral lists this ribosomal RNA (374 nucleotides) under uncultured Actinomycetes bacterium. Its description in RNAcentral is "bacterial SSU rRNA". It matches the Rfam family "Bacterial small subunit ribosomal RNA", at positions 8 to 395 of the family's 1533-position model. Lineage: Bacteria; Bacillati; Actinomycetota; Actinomycetes. The record is from RNAcentral.
AGAGUUUUGAUCCUGGCUCAGGACGAACGCUGGCGGCGUGCUUAACACAUGCAAGUCGAACGGAAAGGCCCGCUUGCGGGUACUCGAGUGGCGAACGGGUGAGUAACACGUGGGCAACCUGCCCUCAGCUCUGGGAUAACUCCGGGAAACCGGUGCUAAUACUGGAUAUCAACUUCUGCUCGCAUGGGUGGUUGUUGGAAGUUUUUCGGCUGGGGAUGGGCCCGCGGCCUAUCAGCUUGUUGGUGGGGUAAUGGCCUACCAAGGCGACGACGGUAGCCGGCCUGAAGGGCGACCGGCCACACUGGGACUGAACACGGCCCAACUCCUACGGAGGCACAGGGAAUAUUGCGCAAUGGCGGAAGCCUGACCACGAC